This 822-nucleotide long non-coding RNA is filed under the name Mytilus galloprovincialis (Mediterranean mussel). The record is from RNAcentral. Lineage: Eukaryota; Metazoa; Mollusca; Bivalvia; Mytilida; Mytilidae.
CUGUUUUUGGUUAUUAUCUUGAAUAUUAUUAUAGAUAGAGAUAAACUGUAAACAGCAAUAAUGUUCAGCAAAGUAAGAUCUACAAAUAAGUCAAACAUGACCAAAAUGGUCAGUUGACCACUUUAGGAGUUAUUGCCCUUUAUAGUCAAUUUUUAACCAUUUUUUCGUAAAUCUUAGUAAUCUUUUAGAAAAAUCUUCUCCUCUGAAACUACUGGGCCAAAUUUAACCAAACUUGGCCACAAUCAUUAUUGGGGUAUCUAGUUUAAAAAAUGUGUCCGGUGACCCGUCCAACCAACCAAGAUGGCCGCCAUGGCUAAAAAUAGAACAUAGGGGUAAAAUGCAGUUUUUGGCUUAUAACUCAAAAACCAAAGCAUUUAGAGCAAAUCUGACAGGGGUAAAAAUUGUUCAUCAGGUCAAGAUCUAUCUGCCCUGAAAUUUUCAGAUGAAUCGGACAUUCCGUUGUUGGGUUGCUGCCCCUGAAAUGGUAAUUUUAAGGAAAUUUUGCUGUUUUUGGUUAUUAUCUUGAAUAUUAUUAUAGAUAGAGAUAAACUGUAAACAGCAAUAAUGUUCAGCAAAGUAAGAUCUACAAAUAAGUCAACAUGACCAAAAUGGUCAGUUGACCACUUUAGGAGUUAUUGCCCUUUAUAGUCAAUUUUUAACCAUUUUUCGUAAAUCUUAGUAAUCUUUUAGAAAAAUCUUCUCCUCUGAAACUACUGGGCCAAAUUUAACCAAACUUGGCCAUAAUCAUCAUUGGGGUAUCUAGUUUAAAAAAUGUGUCCGAUGACCCGCCCAACCAACCAAGAUGGCCGCCAUGGCUAAAAA